Long non-coding RNA from Carassius gibelio (silver crucian carp), 5560 nucleotides. RefSeq lists it as uncharacterized. The transcript is spliced from 4 exons. The record is from RefSeq and is a predicted model, not a curated record. NCBI's taxonomy places the organism in Eukaryota, Metazoa, Chordata, Actinopteri, Cypriniformes, Cyprinidae.
UUGUUUAAGAAUUUCUUUGAAAUAACCGCUCGCUUGAACCUAUAGACCAGCGCGGUCAAGCGAGCGGAAAAAUUGCUCCCAAUUAGUGGUUUUGAAACGACUCAAGGUAUGUGGCACUCACACAGGAAAUGACAUCAACGGGUCAAAACUAAAAAUAUGUCGCAGGGCGUACGGUGACUAUGGGACGCCCUGAACUUGCUCUGUAGCCUACUGAUUGCUUCGAGACAGGUUUCUAUAGUUUUGGAAAGUGGAUGCUGAGGACCUGAGCUGGGUGAGCGCUUCUCAACCAUCACUUUCAUCCUCUGCAAGUUCAGCGCAGACGACACACUUCCACUGGGACGCCGAGCCGGUGUGCUGUCGCAGGUGCAGCUGCUGUCUGGGGCAGAGAGAGGAGACAGACAACACAUACAGUGAAUGCUGGAGUUUUGACAGUUGAUGGAAACGUGGUUAUAUACACAUACUCAACAGACAUCCGAUGCACACACGGAUCCCUUUACCCUGGCACGUUGAGGAACAACUGAACAAGCAGAUAAAAUGCAAACCCUCGUCAUUUCUCCCACACUCUAACCAUUAGCUCAGAAAUCAAGGUGCCGCUCUGCAGCUCUGGAUCCCUGAGCCAGGUCCUGAUUGCAAGUUACUGGGCUGGGGAUAUCAAGUGCGAAAGGAGAAAUGUGAAAUCCCAGAUAAAACCUGGAGCCUUAAGGAGCCAUGAAGUGCAUGUAAUGAGGAAAGUGAUGGGGAUUGGGUGUGCUGAGCACACAGUCACAUGGAGGAUGUCUUUGAGUGAGAGUCUCUGUGACAUUUGUCCUCCCUAAUCCAGGAUUUAUAGAGGACUCACAAAAUUCAACAAGGUUAAAUCAGUAGGCAGGUUAGCAAAGCAUAACAGAAGCACGGCUUGACAAAAAUUAGUAGGCACUAGACAACCUGUGAAUGGCUUGUCUUGCCUUGAUGGACAAUAUUACGUGUUCAUCAAGUGAAACACACACAUUCUUAUUCGUGUUCAUAACUCUUUCACAGUUUGGUGAGUUGAUGAAUUUGAAUGGAUUCAUACAAUCUCACUUGUAGAUUUUUGUAUGAUCUGCUUAGACUUCAUUGAAGGUAAGUUUAGGGUUGGUUUGGUUAUAGGUUAAAAGUGGCCUUUCAUGAUUACUUACUUUUUUUUUUUACUCAUAUGAUUUUGCCACACAAUACAUUGAUACUGUCCUAUAUGGUUCCAGAGAUUAUGCACUUCUCUUUGUUUUUAUGCCCUGUUAGGGUUUUGUAAUACCGCUAAGCUAAUGACCGUAUUUUGCAGAGCCUAAUAAGUCAAAAAUGCAUCUGCCCUGGAAAAGCUGAAUAAUGGCAGAUAUUAAUGGAGCUGGGCCCUGAAUGAUUCCCGGGUUGGCGUGGCAGUUAAACGCAUUCCAGGUUUUGUGGAGGCCAUUAUUCCUGCUCCUUAAUCACCACCUCUGCUUUUAUUACCCCCAAAGCCUCACUGUGUGGCUCGGGGAAACCACAUGUGGGCACAGGCCAGGAAAUGUCGAGCAGACAAGAAAAUGUCUUCCUUUCCCCUUAAAAGUAAUAGCCUUAACCAAACACCAAAGACAGGCUGUUCUUAACCAGAGUUUGCUGUCUAUAAUCGUUUAUGGGAUAUCAGAUGCUGUACCGGAGGAAUUGUUGGUUUUUGUUGAAGAUUUGUAAUCGGUAUGUAGUUAAAAUGAUGCUAGGAACUUUAGAAGUCAAAUAGUUUUCACGUGUCACUUGAAGUUGUGUUGAAAAAGCUGUUCUUAAAGGUAUACUCCACUCCAAAAAGAAAAUUGUCAUUAAUAACUUACCCCCAUGUCGUUCCAAACCUGUAAAAUCUUAGUUUGUCUUCAGAACACAAUUUAAGAUAUUUGGGAUGAAAACUGGGAGGAUUGUGACUGUCCCAUAAACUGAUGGCCCAGAACCACUGAUGGCAGAUGGACUAUUCUAAUGAUGCUUUCAUACUUUUCUGGACCUUGACAGUGUAUUUUACUUGGCAGUCUAUGGGGCAGUCACAAGCCUCCCGGUUUUCAUCCAAAAUAUCUUACAUUGUGUUUUGAAGAUGAACGAAGCUUUUAGGGGUUUGGAAUGACAUGGGGGUGACUGAUUAAUGACAGUUUUCAUUUUGGGGUGGAGAAACGCUUUACCAUGUCAUCCCAAAGUCAUUGCUUCCCAACUCCAGUCCUCGGGACCACUUCCCAGAAUGUUUUAUGUCUCCAUAUUUAACACACAAACAAGCAGUUGAGUUGAAUCAGGUGUUUUAAUUAGGAAAUAUUAAUACAUAUAAAAUUCACAAAGAAUUUUGUCUGAGUAAUGAGCUUUUGUAUCAAGGCUAGAGAAGUAUUUGGCUAUGUAUAUUCAUCAUAAUCAUUGCAGCAGGCAGAAGCAAUUAUUUCUUCUUAAUGGGGAAUCAUGUUGCAUUGCUUGAAAUAUGAAGAUUUGUUUGUUCAAGUUAAGAGUCACUAUGUUUUAUAUUGGUUGACAUUAACAGAUGUUUAACAAAAAUAAAUCAGUAUUAGGUAUUUAACUUGUUUUUGAUUAUUUUGCCUAUUUUUACAUUAACAUUACAUCUGCUUUCCUCUCACUGAAAGUUUAAAAACACCAAUAAUUAAAUAACAAUGUUCGGUAUAAUCUUCAGCAAAUCUCAAAAUAAAGAUCCAAUAUGUAUAAUGUAUUUUAUAAUGUCGAACUGUAUAAUAUAACAUUGCGAUGUUGCCUAAAUUCACUUGAAACAUUUAAAGGUUUAUUUUAUUGUUUUAAUUUUAGUUUGCACAAAAUAAUAAAGAAUUUGAAUAUCAGGCAUCAUCAUUAAAAUAGUUAUUGCUUAUUGGUCAGCUAGAAUUUUAAUUUCACUUCUUUUGUACUUGUAUUUUUUUUUGGGGGUGCUUAGAGUAAUGUGAAGUUGUGGGAACAUUUGUUUUACCCCUAUUUAUAGGGAUGACAGUGCAUUUAAUUUUUUUUUUUUACAUUUAUUAAAAAUAAUAACAAUACAUACAUACUUUCAUGGCCAGUUGGACAUAUCUGCAGUGGAUAAACUAUCUUUAUUCACCUGUCAUUGGCAGGUGUGGCAGAAAGUUAAUUUUGGAUCUCAGUUGCGCAUUAUCAUGGCUCAUGUCCACAUGAGAGGAUCAGUGCCUCAGUCCUAAAUUAAUGAGGGAGGUCUCAUCCCUGACACAGUCCAUCCAUCAGAUCCCUCCAAGGCCUUCUCCUUAAGAGACAACAGAGUGGGGGGUAUAGAUGAUGAAGAGGACUAAUUAAGCCGCCAUGAUGUUUUGUUUUAUUAUGGGUUCAGUUUAAAAAUUUUCAAUAAAUCUUAUUAGCAUAGGAGGUGCUUGGAGACGUCUGACUGAAGGUGUGAAGUGGGUCUGCUGUUUACACUGAGGCUAACAGCUGCACACUUGCGAGGGCUGUAAAAAACAUACGCUGCACUGGUGUCGCUGUCGACACACUGUCGGCUGAUGCCAUAAUUCAUGUGUGUCAUCCACGGGAUGCUGUGUGAGGGGAGGGGAGUAGGUGAGUUUUUUAAGCUCCUCCUGUUUACCCACUGCCUGAUGGCCCCCUGUAGAGAGCAACAGCAAUUAUCACCUUGGAGGAAUGUGGGAGCCUUCUGUUAAAUUCCCUUUGACCCUUCGGUAGAGGAGGUCAGGAGGUGGUGAUCCCCCCAGGGAGCAGCAGGCAGUGAGGGGUGGUGGGGGGACGCCAUAGAUGGGUGCAUUUGGGGCUGUUUCUCAUGGUCAGGGAAACUUGAGUCUGACAUUGCUUUACAGCUGCAAGCCAACAAAGUCAGUUGGUUCUCCUUCUCCAUUCCUCAAAUAGGAUUUUUAUGGUGCAUUUGCAAUGUAAACGGCUGCUUUGCUGUCUUAGUUUGACUGCAUCAGGACUGGCUUCAUACUUUGAGUACAGGUAGUCAGGUUAGCCAGGAUGAACUUGAAAACUUGUAUUCUUACACAGUCAUAACACCUGAAGACAAAGCUCUUCUGUGAAGCUCUUUAAAUCACAGCAGUCAAAGCCAGUCUUCUCACCUUCUACUCAUUACUGAAAAUGAACCCUAAGUUAAAGGGUUUUAGGAAUAAUACAUGCAAAAAUUUAAAAUUCUGUGAUCUUACCUUCACGUCAUUCCAAACCAAACCAAAGAUAAGGAAUGGUUCAUAUGUUUUGUUCCUAUAAUGAAAGUCUAAAUGUCCAAAACCACAUUAAAUCAUUCGGAUUUUCAUUCUAUUGACUAUUUUCUUUUCUCUUUUCAAUUUCCUUUUUCUAAACGAAGUAAGUCAUACAUGUUUGAAACAACAUGAGGGUGAGUAAAUAUUGAUGCAAUUUUCACUUUGGAAUCAACUAUCCUUUUUGAAACAAUUGAACAUGAUGAUACACUGAUGUAUAAGUCUUAAAUGUAGUUUUGAAUUCAGAGACCCUCCCUUUGAAAUAUGAUUCAACAGGAGGUCACAUAUGAGACACAUGUACACUCUUGGGGAAAAAAGCUGCUGUGCCAGUCCCUUACAAAUCCGUAGUUAAAAGUAUUGUUCAUGUUGUUCCAAACUUAGGGCUAUAUGAAUUUCUUUCUUCUGAUUCUACUUGGUAAUUUUGGUAACAGUUGCUGGUAGCCAUUGACUUGAUAUUUUUUUCCCCCAAAUGGGCGAGAGUGGCAACCAGUGACUGUUUGGUUAACAACACACUUCAUUUAUCUUCUUGCACCAUUAAGAAAUUCAUACAGGUUUGGAACAACUUGAGGGUGAGUGAAUGAUGACAAAAUUUUCAUUUUUGGUUGAACCAUCCCUCUAAAUUGUACUAGUAUUAGUAUCUAAAUAUACAGAUAUUCGUAUCCUUUGACCAUCUCAGUGACAGCGUUUGUACAUUUUUUUUUGUUCUGGGAGCAUAAAUACCUGCUGUAAACAGUAAUAUGUCUCAGUUGCUAAAUGCUAAAUGAUUCAAUGUAAAUGUAGUCGUCCGCUGUGAACAAAUCAACUGAGGCUGCUGUUAAUACUCGGUGUAACCAGAACCUAUAAUGUCUGUUUGUGUCAAGCAGUGUUGUGAUUGCAUUUAUAAAUCACGGCUUAACAAGUAAGGCACACCACAUCACGAAGACUAACAGCAUUGGAUGCUGGCUCUGACUGGAUGGGCUUUGAGUGUUAUUUGUGUGUACUGCAUCAUGUGACCCAAAACUGAUUAUGUAUGGUCGUUAAGAGCUGUAGUGACAAGGCCAGCUGCAGACCCUUGACAGCUGCAAUACAGUUUUCAUUUCCAAUCUGUCCUUUUAGCCCCUCAUAAUUCACACCUGAUAUCUCCUGACCUGUGUUCAUGUUGAAUCAAACAAAGCAGUUGUUGUUUAAUAGUGAUGAGAGCUUCUAAUAAGACAUCUCUCAGUGGUGAUUAGCUAAUCGGCCCCCAGAGACAAGACAAGGGCAUAGACUGGGCCCCUAACCAUUUUAGACUGGGACCCAUUCACUUACAAGACCUUGGUCUUCUUAGAGUUUUUAAUAAGUCCUUUCUUUUAAAUGAUUGUAAAUGAAAAAAAAAAAUCCUGUUGUACCAAAAUAUGUUGUUUUCUGAAAUAAAUGUAUUU